RNAcentral lists this non-coding RNA (108 nucleotides) under uncultured Eubacterium sp. RNAcentral's name for it is "Fusobacteriales-1 RNA". It matches the Rfam family "Fusobacteriales-1 RNA". Lineage: Bacteria; Bacillati; Bacillota; Clostridia; Eubacteriales; Eubacteriaceae. The record is from RNAcentral.
AAUAUGACUAAGAAAUCAAAAAGAUUUCUGUGACAAACACGCUUCACAAUGUGCGACAAAGAAACAUUGUUUAUGCAAAGGCACUUCGCAAUGUGUGCUCAAACAUUG